AAACUCUCAAGCUUUGCUUGGUUUUGAAGAUUGACUUAUAGUCAUCUUUCCAACAAGUUGUGCAAGAUCAUCAAACUUCAAGCGUAGCAAUGUUAUCGUUUAGUUGUUAGAUGUCCCUUCGCCAAAAACUUUUAAACUUUCAA
RNAcentral lists this unclassified non-coding RNA (143 nucleotides) under uncultured Dothideomycetes. Its description in RNAcentral is "sequence contains ITS2". The record is from RNAcentral. Lineage: Eukaryota; Fungi; Ascomycota; Dothideomycetes.